RNAcentral lists this long non-coding RNA (203 nucleotides) under Setaria viridis. RNAcentral's name for it is "long non-coding RNA (SVIR_LNC002636)". The record is from RNAcentral. Lineage: Eukaryota; Viridiplantae; Streptophyta; Magnoliopsida; Poales; Poaceae.
CGGCAGUGCGGGCGUGAGUCCAGCCAGUCAAAAUCGCGGCUCCGAGAACACGUAAUCAAUUCAGUGUGUGCUUAUCAGCUAGGCUAGCUAGGUUGGGUCUGGGCUGAUCGUGUGGUCUCGUUGUCCACAGGCCUCUUCAGCGCAGUUGCUGCAUGGACACCCAUCGAAUUUCAAACAGCAUUGGUUCCUUCAUGACUCCAGGU